Molecule: ribosomal RNA, 1288 nt
Filed under: Escherichia coli
Lineage: Bacteria; Pseudomonadati; Pseudomonadota; Gammaproteobacteria; Enterobacterales; Enterobacteriaceae
Description: partial 23S ribosomal RNA
Rfam family: Bacterial large subunit ribosomal RNA
Source: RNAcentral
UUUCCAGGCAAAUCCGGAAAACUAAGGCUGAGGCGUGAUGACGAGGCACUACGGUGCUGAAGCAACAAAUGCCCUGCUUCCAGGAAAAGCCUCUAAGCAUCAGGUAACAUCAAAUCGUACCCCAAACCGACACAGGUGGUCAGGUAGAGAAUACCAAGGCGCUUGAGAGAACUCGGGUGAAGGAACUAGGCAAAAUGGUGCCGUAACUUCGGGAGAAGGCACGCUGAUAUGUAGGUGAAGUCCCUCGCGGAUGGAGCUGAAAUCAGUCGAAGAUACCAGCUGGCUGCAACUGUUUAUUAAAAACACAGCACUGUGCAAACACGAAAGUGGACGUAUACGGUGUGACGCCUGCCCGGUGCCGGAAGGUUAAUUGAUGGGGUCAGCGCAAGCGAAGCUCUUGAUCGAAGCCCCGGUAAACGGCGGCCGUAACUAUAACGGUCCUAAGGUAGCGAAAUUCCUUGUCGGGUAAGUUCCGACCUGCACGAAUGGCGUAAUGAUGGCCAGGCUGUCUCCACCCGAGACUCAGUGAAAUUGAACUCGCUGUGAAGAUGCAGUGUACCCGCGGCAAGACGGAAAGACCCCGUGAACCUUUACUAUAGCUUGACACUGAACAUUGAGCCUUGAUGUGUAGGAUAGGUGGGAGGCUUUGAAGUGUGGACGCCAGUCUGCAUGGAGCCGACCUUGAAAUACCACCCUUUAAUGUUUGAUGUUCUAACGUUGACCCGUAAUCCGGGUUGCGGACAGUGUCUGGUGGGUAGUUUGACUGGGGCGGUCUCCUCCUAAAGAGUAACGGAGGAGCACGAAGGUUGGCUAAUCCUGGUCGGACAUCAGGAGGUUAGUGCAAUGGCAUAAGCCAGCUUGACUGCGAGCGUGACGGCGCGAGCAGGUGCGAAAGCAGGUCAUAGUGAUCCGGUGGUUCUGAAUGGAAGGGCCAUCGCUCAACGGAUAAAAGGUACUCCGGGGAUAACAGGCUGAUACCGCCCAAGAGUUCAUAUCGACGGCGGUGUUUGGCACCUCGAUGUCGGCUCAUCACAUCCUGGGGCUGAAGUAGGUCCCAAGGGUAUGGCUGUUCGCCAUUUAAAGUGGUACGCGAGCUGGGUUUAGAACGUCGUGAGACAGUUCGGUCCCUAUCUGCCGUGGGCGCUGGAGAACUGAGGGGGGCUGCUCCUAGUACGAGAGGACCGGAGUGGACGCAUCACUGGUGUUCGGGUUGUCAUGCCAAUGGCACUGCCCGGUAGCUAAAUGCGGAAGAGAUAAGUGCUGAAAGCAUCUAAGCACGAAACUUGCC